RNAcentral lists this ribosomal RNA (253 nucleotides) under uncultured bacterium. RNAcentral describes it as "partial 16S ribosomal RNA". It matches the Rfam family "Bacterial small subunit ribosomal RNA", at positions 524 to 776 of the family's 1533-position model. The record is from RNAcentral.
UACGUAGGGGGCGAGCGUUGUCCGGAAUCAUUGGGCGGAAAGCGCGUGUAGGCGGCCCGGUAAGUCCGCUGUGAAAGUCCAGGGCUCAACCCUGGGAUGCCGGUGGAUACUGUCGGGCUCGAGUCCGGAAGAGGCGAGUGGAAUUCCUGGUGUAGCGGUGAAAUGCGCAGAUAUCAGGAGGAACACCAAUGGCGAAGGCAGCUCGCUGGGACGUGACUGACGCUGAGACGCGAAAGCGUGGGGAGCAAACAGG